Molecule: transfer RNA, 861 nt
Filed under: uncultured Prochlorococcus sp.
Lineage: Bacteria; Bacillati; Cyanobacteriota; Cyanophyceae; Synechococcales; Prochlorococcaceae
Description: partial 16S-23S ribosomal RNA intergenic spacer; may also contain 16S ribosomal RNA and 23S ribosomal RNA
Rfam family: tRNA (bases 298-370)
Source: RNAcentral
AAGGUAGCCGUACCGGAAGGUGCGGCUGGAUCACCUCCUAACAGGGAGACAUCACUGAUUUUGAUGCCUGAAUUUUAUUUUUAGGCCAUAAUUCUGUCACCUUAGGUCGAUCGGUACCUCAAUUUGAUAUUUCAAUAACCAAGAAAUUAGUUUUGAAAUUGUUUGAAUUCAGUUCCUAAACUUUGUCUAGGUCACACCCAACAAGGGUACUCCUGGGCCAUUAGCUCAGGUGGUUAGAGCGCACCCCUGAUAAGGGUGAGGUCCCUGGUUCAAGUCCAGGAUGGCCCAUUCGGUGUUGGGGGUAUAGCUCAGUUGGUAGAGCGCCUGCUUUGCAAGCAGGAUGUCAGCGGUUCGAGUCCGCUUACCUCCACUGAUACAACUCCUGAUAACGAAGCUGAAGGAGAGCCUUAAUUACUGUGAUCUAGAAUUUGUUCUUUAAUGAAUGAACCUAGCUUCUUGUCAUUCCGUCUAAAAAUUUUUUUAGUUGGUUGAUAGGACGCUGGGCUCCCUGCAAAAAUUUUGCAGAGAUCUUCAGUAGAACCUUGACAACUGCAUAGGUGAGUCUGGAAAGAAUAAAGCAUCUCAUGGAUGCAUUAUUUUCUAAACCAAUUUUGAGAAGUCUGAGUUUAUCAACUCUUUAACUUUGGUUUGAAAUUAUAAUGUUUAAUUCUUGAGCAAGAGCUGAGACUCUAUAACGUUCUUUCAUUGAAUAAUUCCAAUGAGAGUUUGAUUUUUAAUUUUUACUCUUUGGUUUUAGAUUUUAUAGAUACUUUCUAUAAGUUUGAUACCAAAUCUUGGCAAAAUUAGAGAGAAAAGUGUUAACAACACAUCACGUUUUAGAGAUUAAUGGUCAAGCUACAA